CUAAUACCAUUUCAAAAGACAACCUAAUAGACUAUGCAUACCUUCUCAUACCAUCCAGCAAUUCUUGGUUUUUAGGAUCAUGUUUUAAUCCCUCCUGGUA
Long non-coding RNA from Cucurbita maxima (winter squash), 100 nucleotides. RefSeq lists it as uncharacterized. The transcript is spliced from 3 exons. NCBI's taxonomy places the organism in Eukaryota, Viridiplantae, Streptophyta, Magnoliopsida, Cucurbitales, Cucurbitaceae. The record is from RefSeq and is a predicted model, not a curated record.